UUUUUAAUGGUUGACCUCGGAUCAGGUAGGAAUACCCGCUGAACUUAAGCAUAUCAAUAGGCGGAGGAACAA
This 72-nucleotide ribosomal RNA is filed under the name Pestalotiopsis vismiae. RNAcentral describes it as "partial 28S ribosomal RNA". The stretch from base 12 to 72 matches the Rfam family "Eukaryotic large subunit ribosomal RNA", at positions 1 to 61 of the family's 3401-position model. Lineage: Eukaryota; Fungi; Ascomycota; Sordariomycetes; Amphisphaeriales; Sporocadaceae. The record is from RNAcentral.